GACGAACGCUGGCGGCGUGCCUAAUACAUGCAAGUUGAGCGCUGAAGGUUGGUACUUGUACCGACUGGAUAAGCAGCGAACGGGUGAGUAACGCGUGGGGAAUCUGCCUUUGAGCGGGGGACAACAUUUGGAAACGAAUGCUAAUACCGCAUAAAAACUUUAAACACAAGUUUUAAGUUUGAAAGAUGCAAUUGCAUCACUCAAAGAUGAUCCCGCGUUGUAUUAGCUAGUUGGUGAGGGAAAGGCUCACCAAGGCGAUGAUACAUAGCCGACCUGAGAGGGUGAUCGGCCACAUUGGGACUGGGACACGGCCCAAACUCCUACGGGAGGCAGCAGUAGGGAAUCUUCGGCAAUGGACGAAAGUCUGACCGAGCAACGCCGCGUGAGUGAAGAAGGUUUUCGGAUCGUAAAACUCUGUUGGUAGAGAAGAACGUUGGUGAGAGUGGAAAGCUCAUCAAGUGACGGUAACUACCCAGAAAGGGACGGCUAACUACGUG
RNAcentral lists this ribosomal RNA (497 nucleotides) under uncultured bacterium. RNAcentral describes it as "partial 16S ribosomal RNA". It matches the Rfam family "Bacterial small subunit ribosomal RNA", at positions 28 to 507 of the family's 1533-position model. The record is from RNAcentral.